CUUACUGCAGAGGCUGGCAGGCUCAAAGGUGCAUUGGAGGGUGGUUAUGAGUUCUUGAGGAGAGAAAUCAGAGGCUCUAGUGAGCAUGCUUCUACACAGUUCACUGCACUGCUUCAGUCUAUUUCGAGAGCUCUGAACGUUCUUGAUUCCAUCAGGCUCUCUCUUGCAGUCCAGUCUUUGACCUCUGAACAUUCUCAGCCUCCAGGAUCAUCUCGCCCACCUACUCAUGCCAGCACCUCCACUCGUGGC
This 249-nucleotide long non-coding RNA is filed under the name Elaeis guineensis (African oil palm). RNAcentral describes it as "long non-coding RNA (EGUI_LNC041347)". The record is from RNAcentral. Lineage: Eukaryota; Viridiplantae; Streptophyta; Magnoliopsida; Arecales; Arecaceae.